Long non-coding RNA from Mustela erminea (ermine), 880 nucleotides. RefSeq lists it as uncharacterized. NCBI's taxonomy places the organism in Eukaryota, Metazoa, Chordata, Mammalia, Carnivora, Mustelidae. The record is from RefSeq and is a predicted model, not a curated record. The transcript has 3 exons.
GCAAGAAGUGACCCAGGUCAAGUUGCCCUCGCUUGCUAAAUUAAGCUUUGCUUGUAUGAUUAAGCUGGUUUUAUCCACUCAGAUAAUUUCCUAGUCUGACUUCCUGUUUGCCUUUAACGCCUACAGAGCGUUAAGAAUUCUUACCGAAGUUCGCUUUCCCACAUCUGUACCUGUGCUGCCUGGCUGAGAAAAAAAUGGAAAAUUUUACAUCGUCCCUUCCUUUGCAAAUUCAGACUCUGAAACGUCACGGAGCCAUACGUGCUCCUUUGUCUUUGGGGAAUGUCACCUUGAACACCUGUGAUGCUUGAAACUAGAGUGGACAACGUCCAGUGGUGAGGUGGCAGGGCUGUGCCUAGCCGUGUGCCGAGGACAGGGGAGCAGAAAGAUGGGCAGAUCUGGGUCCUGGAUGACGCUGCCGAGCUGAUAAAUCUCGGAGGCCCUUGUCCUUUCACCAGAAAAUGGUACCAAAUCAAAUGGACAAAAAUCAACUCAGAAUGAAUCACGGAUCUAAAUGCUGCAAAAAGUAAUAAAGAAAAACUUCACUGAAAUGGAGUUGGGAGUUUGUCCGGGGAGGUCUUCUGCCCUACCACUUCUUAGCGAUUGUAAAUUCAACAGGAAGAGGCAGACCUUGCCCUUAGAUACUCCUUUGCUACCCUACCAGGAGGAAGAAGGCAACAGCCCAGCCAAUGAGAGACUGUCACAACUCAGCCAAUGAAAAGCUACCAGGCUUCAAAAUAUUGGUUUACUUCAGUGACCUUUCCAACCUCCCCCCUUCCUUCCUCUAUAAAGGAGUGAUCCUCUUCUUUGUACUGUGGAUUUACCUAUGGUUUUGUCACAGCUUGCUUGUUCUGGAUUGCUAUUUUCUUUUAUUCGAGAAUAA